GUGGGGAAUCUUGCGCAAUGGGCGAAAGCCUGACGCAGCCAUGCCGCGUGAAUGAUGAAGGUCUUAGGAUUGUAAAAUUCUUUCACCGGGGACGAUAAUGACGGUACCCGGAGAAGAAGCUCCGGCUAACUUCGUGCCAGCAGCCGCGGUAAUACGAAGGGGGCUAGCGUUGCUCGGAAUUACUGGGCGUAAAGGGCGCGUAGGCGGACAGCUUAGUCAGAGGUGAAAGCCCAGGGCUCAACCUUGGAAUUGCCUUUGAUACUGGCUGUCUUGAGUUUGGGAGAGGUGAGUGGAACUCCGAGUGUAGAGGUGAAAUUCGUAGAUCUUCGGAAGAACACCAGUGGCGAAGGCGACUCACUGGCCCAAUACUGACGCUGAGGCGCGAAAGCGUGGGGAGCAAACAGGAUUAGAAACCCUAGUAGUCC
RNAcentral lists this ribosomal RNA (425 nucleotides) under uncultured bacterium. Its description in RNAcentral is "partial 16S ribosomal RNA". It matches the Rfam family "Bacterial small subunit ribosomal RNA", at positions 354 to 796 of the family's 1533-position model. The record is from RNAcentral.